UCAAAAACAAAAUUUCAGCAUUACCACUUUAUUGGUUAUAUCAAUAAAAUAAAUUAUUGAGUUUAUGAGUCUAGAUCCUACAAGCAAGCAGAUCUAUCACAUAAUUUUAAAUGAAGAUUUAUCUAUUAUAGUAAUUUAUUCUAAUAACGAAAAAAAAACUUUGGAU
This is a long non-coding RNA of Sitophilus oryzae (rice weevil), 166 nucleotides long. RefSeq lists it as uncharacterized. The transcript has 2 exons. NCBI's taxonomy places the organism in Eukaryota, Metazoa, Arthropoda, Insecta, Coleoptera, Curculionidae. The record is from RefSeq and is a predicted model, not a curated record.